This 76-nucleotide transfer RNA is filed under the name Alicyclobacillus sp. RNAcentral's name for it is "tRNA-Gly". It matches the Rfam family "tRNA". Rfam says of the family: Transfer RNA (tRNA) molecules are approximately 80 nucleotides in length. Their secondary structure includes four short double-helical elements and three loops (D, anti-codon, and T loops). RNAcentral also lists the same sequence under 3 other names. The record is from RNAcentral. Lineage: Bacteria; Bacillati; Bacillota; Bacilli; Caryophanales; Alicyclobacillaceae.
GCGGAUGUAGUUCAAUUGGUAGAGCGUCAGCUUCCCAAGCUGAAUGUUGCGGGUUCGAGUCCCGUCAUCCGCUCCA